UUUGGACAUUUUUAUUAGCAUGAAUGAGGAUUUAACUUUUCCUCUAGUUUUCUUCUAUUUACUGUCUUACUCCAUUAUGUAUAAAGUCAGUUUUAUUUAUUUACAUAAUAUUUUUCACAGGUGGGUCUGAAGUAGAUGGAAACAUUUUAUUUGGUUCUACUACCUUGAGAGGCAGAGCUAGUCAUGACAUAAUUCUAAAUAUAUGAGAUGUCAUUGCUUAAUGAAAGCUUGAAAAUGCCACAAGAAUAUGAUUCCUUGCUCUAAAUUGUGAUCAGUUCAGGCAAUCAAGAUUAAAUUUGAAACCAGGAUACAGUAGGAAUUAAAUUUCACAAGAAUUCUGUGUAUACCUCUUCGUUUUAGUCAUGCAUACUUUUGUGUAGUAGAAGUAAAAGAAUUAUCCUCUGCUUUAUUUAAGUGAAUGUGCAUUUUAGCUCAAGUAAACAAAAAAUAGCAAAUUUAGGUUCAUACUGAAUCUGGGUUACAAAUAUUUCUAUGAUUUUGUUAAUGGAUAAUAAUAUUAAUACCAAAUACAUGUGAUAAAAACAAAAAACUAGCAGCCUGGUCUGGAUAAUCAUAAUGGAUAGUAUGGCUUUGUAUAAUUCUGUUCUGUGUAAUCCAAAACAAUGUAGAAUGCUAGUUAUACCUUUUCUGACAGAAGUACUAGGCAUUUUUCCCCCCAGGAUCAGCACAUGGGAGCUAGUCUCAAAGGAUGGUCAAAUUAUGCCAGGGAAGGCAUAAAGGUAGGCUUGGCUAUAGUGAAGUAUCUCUGCCUCCAUGCAUAGAGGUAUCACUGGACAGAUGGCUACCUCCACUUUUCUCUACUUCAUUAGCUAUCUGGACCAACUCCAGUGAUAAGUAUUAUGAGAAUGACCAGUCAUUUUUUCCUUUAUCAGUUCCUAUCUCAGUUUGGUCUCGAUGAUGAGGAGGGAAGCAAUAUGCCUUGAGAGCAUGAUUGCUGUUAUUCCACAUUCCAUUAUAAUCAAAUAUGAGAUAAGAUGAGUCCAAGAAAUGUCUUGUAAACCUGUGCUCUGGAGGACUUUUAGAAAGCUCAAAGACCUUGAUAGAAGCUGAAAUUCUGUGUGUGAGAAUGAUAGGCUUUAUAAAUUGAAAAUGAAGAAUGAUACGUGUAGUGGGCAGGUAGAAUGUUUUAAUGCUUGUUUGAUAAGAAAUGUUUUUAUUUGCUGAAAUUGUCAUUGAGAGAUCUGGUAUCAUUGUUCGCAAUCUAGAGAUGGAAUUGGAGAGAAUCUUGCUUCUAUAAAAAUUGCAAAAUAUGACAUUCAAAGUAUAGCAUAGCAGCAGGGACACUAUCCAGAUGGCAAAAGGUGACAGGUUUUGUAUCAACAACAGGCAAAGACAAAAUAAAAAGAGGGAAGAGAGGGUCUUAGUGAAAACCCUCAGUGCCUAUUAAGGAUGAAAUGGUAAUCGCUUUUUGGUGGGAAUCAGUACAUUUGCAUAAAUAUGUUUAUUACAAGUAGUAGUUUUCUUUCUCCUGCAGUAUUCCAGCCAUUCACAGCAAAUUAUAUUGAUUAACAUUUCCAUUGGACAUAAAUGUUAUCAUACAUAUAUCACUUAUUUACAGAGGAUUGUUUUCACUUGCUAAAGCAUUUAGCAUUUGAGUGCUGUGCUCAUUCUGCUCGUCCCACAUUCCUUUCCCCCUUUCCCUUUUAACAGUACUCAGAAGCUCUUAAGACUGCAGAACUCAUCAGGACAAGAGCAGUACCCUUUUGGAACUAUUACUUCUGUAAAUCAUUAACACACACAUACAUUUUGUUAUCUGUCAGAACACAAACUCUCUUUUGGUGUUGUACAUAUUGUACUAAGAAGCUUACAGGUCAAGUCUCCAGUAAGACAUAGGGAUCUCUGCCAACCUGCUUUCCCAUGAAUUUCUUUUUAUAGAGUUCUGCAAGAGCCUGUAGCACCCUGGUGAUGUUAUAUGAUAAGGCUUUACCUUAGGAGUAGGGAAUGAAGAUCAUUGGAUUCCCCCAAUCUCUUUCUGAAGAUGUGGAGUCCAGCUGCUUGUUCCUUCCAGCCCCUACAGUUGGUUUCCAUUAGUUUGAAUUGUUUUAAUUUUUUUAAGGCUGUCCCUGUAAUGGAAAGAGUUGGGUAAAACACCCUUUUAGUUUGGAAGCGAAAAAUCAACUUCAUAUUGCCCACAGGCUGAUGUUCUGAAUUGAAGAUUUAUAAAAGUUCCCUCUGGUUAAUAAUGUUUUCUUGCCUGCCUUGGGAUUGUGUAAGGUCUGCUUUCAGUGUAUUAUAUGUAGAGUACCUGAUCCAGUUUCUGUUAUCUUCCACUGAAGCUAAUUUGGACCCAUAAAGUAGAAUACAUGAUGAAUUGUAGAAUAAAGCGGAGACCUCUGGAAGCUUAGCAUUUAGUAAAUGAUCGUUCUGUAAAGUUAAUUACUGUGCAAUAUAGAAUAUGAUCUAU
Gavialis gangeticus (Gharial) is the source of this 2425-nucleotide long non-coding RNA. RefSeq lists it as uncharacterized. NCBI's taxonomy places the organism in Eukaryota, Metazoa, Chordata, Crocodylia, Gavialidae. The record is from RefSeq and is a predicted model, not a curated record. The transcript is spliced from 2 exons.